ACUUUUCCCCUUUUCAACAAGUUGUACUUCAUCCUUCAGUCUUGGAUUUAUACCAGAAAGAUUUUAUAUCUUUCAACUUCGGCUUUGUUUUGUCCAUAACCUAUUGCGUCGUACAAUAUAUGAAUUUUUCUUGCAAUAGCAAAGACUGGUUCUUUCACUCGAUGUCCAACCGAUGAUGGAACCAAUCUUUUUAUCACACUAUUCAUAAAUGAAUGAAAAAGUUGAAUGAAUGGUCCUUAAAAGAGUUCGAUUUGGAAUGGGAAGAAUGUGUCCAUUUCGAAUGGCUGGUGAUUUCUGGUGUUGUGGUCCAAUUUGCUGCCUGCCCCCUUUCCUCCAAUCUCCCCAAAUUCUUCAUUCUCUUCUUCUUGUACUUCUCUCAAAGCUAAUAUUAGUUGUUGUGCCCAGCUCCGAGCUGAAAUAAUCCUGAAAAUUAUAAGAGGAGGAGAGCAACUAGAAGCAAAGACAGAAAGUGUUUUCUGUGGAAAAGAAAAAGAAUUAGAGAUCAAAUGAAAUGAAAAGAUAAUAAUCGGAUGUCAAUAUUUAUAGACAGAAGAUGAAAGAUUUAUAGAAGAUCACAAUGACAUAAUCAAACUGAUGUGAUAUUGAAUAUAUCAGGUCAAUUUAAUAUAUCAGAUCAAUUCAAAUAUUUAAAAUGUCAUUGAUUUUAUGUUGAUAAUUUCUAAUAAUAAAAGAAAAAGACAACAAUGUCCUUUUAACCAAUAAAUGCUCGUGACAACUAGCAAUAGCAAGUAUCCACCGCCCCAUUUUUUUCUUCUUUUCAAGCAAUUAGAUGAAUGAGUAACGAAUGUCUGAAGAUGGAGUAAGGUUGAAACUGAGAUCUGAGAGUGACUUAUAUCCAUCUCUAAUUCUUAUGUCUAGAUUUGUUUUCUGGUGCCGACGUCUGCGGCACCUAAACCUGUUUUAGUACGAGCAAUUGACGUGUGAUUUGUGUAUAAAUUCACAUUCGAGAAAACAACUGCGUAACAAACUAAACAUUCCAAAAGAAUUUCAUUGCAAUACUUCAAACCGUGUUGGUUUACGGUCUGAAAUUUUGGUUCUCAACACUAUGAUGAUCACGGUUUUGUCUAAUUGGUUAAGUAAAACAUGUUACGAAAUUCCAAACGCAUUAGAAUACUAGGAAAAUUCCUGAUUUGGAACCCAUGUUUUAAUAGUUGAACUGUCAUACAUAUACUUUUUGUAUAAACAAAUAAGAGUGUUGCAUCCCAAACAUUUUGCUUACCCCAAUUUCCCAAAUCAAAAACAAUAGCUGUGGUUUUGCUAAUUUGAGCAGUUUUUUGGCCAAGAAGUGGAAUGAUCAUGGAAUGUUUGACAAAAUCAUAAGUGGCUGUCUGUCUAACUAAAAUGACCAGGACAAAAACACUUCCAUCAAAGCAUGGAGAGACUUAAAAAAAUACAUAUUCUUCUAAUACUUGGACCUUUUAUUACAGGACAGAAUCAUUUAAACAUCGAAUGUUAGUUAAAAAAAAAAACUUAAGAAAGUGAACACUUCUAAGCUCACAUAACUGCGUGCAUGGGAGAUUGGAAAAAGGGGGUAAAAUAGAGAGAGGUCGUUGAUGUUUUUCGCUAAAUCAAACAAAUUCACCGAAACGAAAUGGGUCUACCAUGUGCCACUGCCGACUGCAAUGGCUCAUGAUAGCUCGCAACCUUCCAAAGGGAAAUGCGCAUAUGCUUUGCCCUGUGCUGUGGCCUCAAGCCUGCAGUCUACACUUUUUUUUUUUAUAUAAUUGAGGCCGGCAGAAUUUAACUCUAAUAAUUAGAGUUAAGAAUCACAACUGUUGGUUGUAAUCCACACAUAGCAGAGUGGUAAAUGCCAUUUCUACUAAUUUCUAAUAUUCUCUCAAAUGACAUUCAUCCAUAAAGAAAAAUAGUGAUUUUUCACAUUUUCAGCAUCUCUUCUUUUUCUUGUUUUAGGCAUUCAAUUUUCAAUUACUACAUAAACGAACUUCAUUAACAGAUAUCUGUACAAACGCCGGUUAAGAACCUAAGAUGCAUGAAUUCAUAACUUACAUGUGAAUAAAUUGUAUAAAUUUGAAAUAAAGCAAAUAUAACCAAUAUUAAUAUUUUCCGUAAAACAAACAAAAAUAAUUGGUCACGGCAGAGUGUAAUGGGUCAGUGAUUAUGGAAUUAUUGCUGUUGAUGUGAUACGAUGAAACUGAAUAAUUGGUUUAUGCGCUGGCCUUUUUUUUUUCUUUUGGUGAGUGGGAAGUAAUAGAUAGUCUCUUCAUUCAUUUCUGGCUAAAUACUUGAAUUGAAUGGGAAAAAGGAUACAGAUACCAUGUUCGGAACAAACAAAAUCAUGUGCAUUGAAAACAACCAUUGAGGUGACUUUGCUAUAAACUAUACCUAUACUACAAGGCUAGCAAAGAAAACGAGUGAAUUAGGAUGGCUUCUCACCCAUAUCCACAGAAACACAGACAACAAAUGCAAAUUGCAUGAUUUUUAAUAUCUUUACUUUUGACCUUUCCUUGACCUUUUUCAAUGCUAAUAAUGAAACUUUUAAGCAAUCUUUGGCGUUUAGUUAAAUUUAUUCCUACUAUUUGCAUAGAGUUACAAAAAUUCCUCACUGGUGGAUAUAAAAAAAAAAUCGAAUCCCUUCUCCCCAUUUUAGGUUCUUUUGAUUAGUUUCUUAUGAGUCUAUCCAUUGCGUCUUUAUCAAAACAAGGAAUGUUGGUUACCGGCAAAUAUUUGUUUUUGGACCCAUUAGUUGGAUGACCAAGGUUAUUGGGCUUUUCUAGUAACCCAUGCCUAAGGUUUUAGUUGAUGGGUUUAGACAAACUAAUAGCAUUGUACUUUCUCAAUGUUUUAUUCGAGUUUUGCAUUCUUGGUGGUUGUACGAAAGUUUGUAUUAGAUUCUUCAAUUUUUGUAAGAAAUAUUUUUAAAAUAAAAAAAUUCUGAAUGCAGCCUAUCAAUGUUAAAAUUCGUCUUUAACCUUACAAAAUUCAUGAAUGUUGAAUGAUAUAUAUAUAUAUAUAUAUAAAACUACGAAGACAAUUGAUAAAAAUCAGGUAGUUAAAUGGCCAAAACCAUACCUUGCAAUCCGUGACACUGUUCCAUGUGAUUACCUUCAACGGGCUUAAGCUGCCAAUAUUGACGUUGGAAACAUCCGAUUGUCAGCAUAUGCGAUGCAUGCAAAUCUUUACUAUAGUUACAGAUAGUGAUAAAUUUUGGUGAAAACCUUGUUUAGCAGCAAGGAUAAUAGGUGAACUUGGGCGUACCCUGCCAAUAAAUCGGUGGUGAAAUGCGCAACCGACAAAAGCAGUCUUUU
RNAcentral lists this long non-coding RNA (3287 nucleotides) under Durio zibethinus. Its description in RNAcentral is "long non-coding RNA (DZIB_LNC000977)". The record is from RNAcentral. Lineage: Eukaryota; Viridiplantae; Streptophyta; Magnoliopsida; Malvales; Malvaceae.